ACUGGGGUCCAGGAGGCAUAUGGGGGCCAGCAGCAGGUGAGACACAGGCCUGCAGAGGGCGCUCUGGGCUGGAAAAGAGCUAAUUCCCUGGACAACCAGCAGGAGGCGCCACGCCAGUGAGUCAUCGCCCUGCCACACCAGGGAAGGAUUAAAGGCUUCAGCAGUGUUUAGCUCAGAAGACUCACCAAGAUUAUACACAACAAUGAAAGUUAUUUCAGAAGCAGAGCAGCCACCGGACUUCAGCGUGAUCCCACUGAAAUCAAAUGCACUGUACCGAUUAACAUUGACGGGAGCAGGGUCUCAGCCUCAGCUUUUUUACUGCUCAUUUGAUCUUGCCCCAGCAACUGCAGAUACAGUCCAUAGUAUAUUUUUAUUGCUGGAUUGGAAAUGUGGAAGAUCUCCAGCGGAUAGUAUAAUUCCUCUGUUACUGGAAGGCUCUAUAACGUAGUGGGAAAAGAUUCUGUUUUACACGCCAAAGAUUACACGCCAAAACGUCUUACAUUUGUGCUUUUAGCUUUCUUUCCAUCUGUGAGAUUACACAAGUCGAUUCACUUAUUCCAUUUUGCAGGUAACAACCAAACUAGAUCCAAACUAUUUUACAUUUUAAAAUAAUAAUUUAAAAAUUUUAGUAAAAAUGAACAGUUCCGCUGUACAUUUAAUCAUUUCAUCAAUUUUUUGAGUUCCUAUCACCUUGGCAGCUAGCACAAGAAUUCAGAAAACGUGAAGAGCACAUAUAUUUUUCAAUAUAUCUUUAUCUGCCAUGAUAUUAAAAUGUUGUU
This is a long non-coding RNA of Mauremys mutica (yellowpond turtle), 779 nucleotides long. RefSeq lists it as uncharacterized. NCBI's taxonomy places the organism in Eukaryota, Metazoa, Chordata, Testudines, Geoemydidae. The transcript has 3 exons. The record is from RefSeq and is a predicted model, not a curated record.